This 253-nucleotide ribosomal RNA is filed under the name uncultured bacterium. RNAcentral's name for it is "partial 16S ribosomal RNA". It matches the Rfam family "Bacterial small subunit ribosomal RNA", at positions 524 to 776 of the family's 1533-position model. The record is from RNAcentral.
UACGAAGGGGGCUAGCGUUGCUCGGAAUCACUGGGCGUAAAGGGUGCGUAGGCGGGUCUUUAAGUCAGGGGUGAAAUCCUGGAGCUCAACUCCAGAACUGCCUUUGAUACUGAAGAUCUUGAGUUCGGGAGAGGUGAGUGGAACUGCGAGUGUAGAGGUGAAAUUCGUAGAUAUUCGCAAGAACACCAGUGGCGAAGGCGGCUCACUGGCCCGAUACUGACGCUGAGGUGCGAAAGCGUGGGGAGCGAACAGG